MicroRNA precursor from Nicotiana attenuata, 96 nucleotides. It matches the Rfam family "MIR6152 microRNA precursor family". Lineage: Eukaryota; Viridiplantae; Streptophyta; Magnoliopsida; Solanales; Solanaceae. The record is from Rfam.
UGGACAGAUUAUUGUAUUCGACUGUAUUCACGGCGUGAAACAGGGGGUUAUACUGUUUUUAAACGGAAAGUGAAUCAAUUAACAUAAUAGACUCCU